CGGCAGCACGGACUUCGGUCUGGUGGCGAGUGGCGAACGGGUGAGUAAUGUAUCGGAACGUGCCUAGUAGCGGGGGAUAACUACGCGAAAGCGUAGCUAAUACCGCAUACGCCCUACGGGGGAAAGCAGGGGAUCGCAAGACCUUGCACUAUUAGAGCGGCCGAUAUCGGAUUAGCUAGUUGGUGGGGUAACGGCUCACCAAGGCGACGAUCCGUAGCUGGUUUGAGAGGACGACCAGCCACACUGGGACUGAGACACGGCCCAGACUCCUACGGGAGGCAGCAGUGGGGAAUUUUGGACAAUGGGGGAAACCCUGAUCCAGCCAUCCCGCGUGUGCGAUGAAGGCCUUCGGGUUGUAAAGCACUUUUGGCAGGAAAGAAACGUUCCGGGUUAAUACCCCGGGAAACUGACGGUACCUGCAGAAUAAGCACCGGCUAACUACGUGCCAGCAGCCGCGGUAAUACGUAGGGUGCAAGCGUUAAUCGGAAUUACUGGGCGUAAAGCGUGCGCAGGCGGUUCGGAAAGAAAGAUGUGAAAUCCCAGAGCUUAACUUUGGAACUGCAUUUUUAACUACCGAGCUAGAGUGUGUCAGAGGGAGGUGGAAUUCCGCGUGUAGCAGUGAAAUGCGUAGAUAUGCGGAGGAACACCGAUGGCGAAGGCAGCCUCCUGGGAUAACACUGACGCUCAUGCACGAAAGCG
Molecule: ribosomal RNA, 699 nt
Filed under: Enterobacter sp.
Lineage: Bacteria; Pseudomonadati; Pseudomonadota; Gammaproteobacteria; Enterobacterales; Enterobacteriaceae
Description: bacterial SSU rRNA
Rfam family: Bacterial small subunit ribosomal RNA
Source: RNAcentral